Molecule: long non-coding RNA, 351 nt
Organism: Ornithodoros turicata
Lineage: Eukaryota; Metazoa; Arthropoda; Arachnida; Ixodida; Argasidae
Exons: 2
Source: RefSeq, a predicted model, not a curated record
UACUGCCGCACCACCAUGCGCCAUCAGCAGGGGAGCGCACUUGCUGCCACAACGUAGUGUCAUUGUCAUGCAGCCAGUCUUAACAGUCAAUACGGAAGAAGACACUGCCCAACUACAACUUGCAGCUUUUCUCAGCAGAAUAAGAAAAACUGCCUGGGGAUAUACCUAAGCAGCAUCCACACCCCAUGGCAGUUUUGCCAAUUAAAGACGUGGUAAUGCAGCCUACCUGUCUCAGUGAACUGGUGUACCCUGCUGAAGAAGUCUUCAAUGUGGCUUACAUUAGAUACGAGGCUACCUGUCGAAUUACAAAUGUACACCCAUAAGCAAUAAAGACAAUGAUUCACAAAUACA